RNAcentral lists this ribosomal RNA (392 nucleotides) under uncultured bacterium. RNAcentral's name for it is "partial 16S ribosomal RNA". It matches the Rfam family "Bacterial small subunit ribosomal RNA", at positions 523 to 918 of the family's 1533-position model. The record is from RNAcentral.
AUACGGAGGAUCCGAGCGUUAUCCGGAUUUAUUGGGUUUAAAGGGUGCGCAGGCGGCCAUUUAAGUCAGCGGUUAAACCGUGGGGCUCAACCCCAUUCUGCCGUUGAUACUGGGUGGCUUGAUUGCGGUCGAGGUUGGCGGAAUUCGUUGUGUAGCGGUGAAAUGCAUAGAUAUGACGAAGAACACCGAUUGCGUAGGCAGCUGACCAGACCGCAAAUGACGCUCAUGCACGAAAGUGCGGGGAUCGAACAGGAUUAGAUACCCUGGUAGUCCGCACAGUAAACGAUGAAUACUUGUUUUCGGCGAUAUAAUGUCGGAGGCAAAGCGAAAGCGAUAAGUAUUCCACCUGGGGAAUACGCCGGCAACGGUGAAACUCAAAUGAAUUGGCGGGG